Molecule: long non-coding RNA, 830 nt
Organism: Oncorhynchus mykiss (rainbow trout)
Lineage: Eukaryota; Metazoa; Chordata; Actinopteri; Salmoniformes; Salmonidae
Source: RefSeq, a predicted model, not a curated record
CUAGUCACGUGGUUGAUCUUUUGUUUUGACGUUCAUCACCGGAUUGCGUUUCAUUUGAUAGGCUACAUUUUUUUGCAUUAAUAAUUACUGCCUGCGUCUCGGUUAUAUCAAGGACGGGCAAUUCGAUGUAUUAGUUACUCAAUAUGUUAAUCAGUCGAAAUGCCAGCAGGUAGCAAAACAACUAUGGCGAGCUCUGAAUCAUCGAGAAAAGUAUAAAGCUGAAAAUAUGACAACUAGGCCUACCAAGAAUUGGCUACAAUUGCCAACAUUGUUCCAUCAUGGCGUAACAUUUAACAUAUCAACGUUUGAUAUAACAUGACAGUGAAGAAUGUGAGGGUGGUAUAAUUAGGUAGCAAUGUGUAUUAGUUGGGUGAGUGUCAGAUAAAAUGGUAGCUUAUUAGUCGACCUGAGUUUUCAAAAGACCAGUAAAAAGAGUAAAAACAAAAAAAGACAAGUGACUCCGAUCAGUGUCUCAUUGAUGCAAAUGUGUAAAGGGGUGUGUCUUUGCCACUAGGAUUUCACAGUCCUUUUCUACACACCCUUCAAUAAUAGUACAAUCAUCACAGUCAGAAGAGGACAAGCCACCUGAGGCCUCCUAGCCAGCUGCUUAGACAGGGCAUCCUCCAGCUUUCAUUACCCCAUGUGCUUAGCCUUUCUUGCUGGCUGGGACUGAAAUCCAGAAAAGAUCCAGACAUGAUUACUGCUGCUUAUGUCAGGUGACAAGUCACUCUUCUCUGAUAAGGACACAUAUAAAGUUUUAUGAGUGGAGAUGUUUAUGAGUUUCUUGUUAAAUUGUCUUUCAACCCAUUCUCUUAAAUGUUUAAAUUCCA